RNAcentral lists this ribosomal RNA (253 nucleotides) under uncultured bacterium. RNAcentral's name for it is "partial 16S ribosomal RNA". It matches the Rfam family "Bacterial small subunit ribosomal RNA", at positions 524 to 776 of the family's 1533-position model. The record is from RNAcentral.
UACGGAGGAUCCAAGCGUUAUCCGGAAUCAUUGGGUUUAAAGGGUCCGUAGGCGGUUUGGUAAGUCAGUGGUGAAAGCCCAUCGCUCAACGGUGGAACGGCCAUUGAUACUGCCAGACUUGAAUUAUUAGGAAGUAACUAGAAUAUGUAGUGUAGCGGUGAAAUGCUUAGAGAUUACAUGGAAUACCAAUUGCGAAGGCAGGUUACUACUAAUGGAUUGACGCUGAUGGACGAAAGCGUGGGGAGCAAACAGG